AUAAUUGAAACAAUAUUAUAGAUAAAAAUAUAUCUUUAACUUCAUGACAGAUUUGUUGUCAGAACAAAUUCAAUAAUAAUGCAGCAAAUCUUCUCUCUAGUUGCUCCAACCUCUCUCUAGAAGUCUCUUAAAUAAAAUCAACGCUCGGUGGCCGGUGGCUUAGCCGCCGGUUACCACCCUUCUCCUUUUGUUUUUUGGUCUGUAAAUACUUCGAUCUGAUGAUCGAAUCUCUCUGUUCCGGUUUGCGGAUAUUCCCUUUCACUAGGCGAUUUUAUAUCUUCUACUUAUCGGAUUGUCUCUUUGUGCUAGGCGUUUUUUGUUGUGUGAAAUCAAAAUCCGUUCUCUGCUUUCCUUUAUAAACUGAUAAUUCCACUUGAUUUUGGAGGUUUCUAGUCUCCUUGUUAGUUACGCUUAAUUUCUUACUCUAAUAAGAAAUCAAUCUUCGCUUCAGAUAAAAGGCGAAGUAUUCUUAAAGGUAUGAAAUCGAGAUGGUUGAUUAAGUGGUGGAGAGUUGAUGCAGAGUUUCAGAUUAGCCGGAGCUUUCAUCUUGGGAGCGUUCUGGCGAGUUUUCCGUGUCUCUUUCCUUGAAACUUUUCACUGGAUUUCAUCUCUAGCAUGUAGACGAAGAAGCUUUCAAGAUUGGCGGCGGGCAAGGAAAGAAGAAACGGUCAAGUGGGCUAAAUCAGUCGAAGAAGGAGGCUGAAAAUUCAUAGUCCGGUAGGUUUCCGACGAGCAACCAGCGGUGCUCUCUCUGAUUCCAGAAAUUUCGAUGGCCACGUUAUAGGGCACGUGUCUUCCAUGCUUUCAUUGUUAUGUUAUUAAAAAUACACGUGUUUAUAUCCUUUUAAUUUUAUCUUGUUGGGCAUCGGACGAGCUGAAUAUGUAUUGGGGAUGAUUUACCUACUUGAUAAAACUGUUGACAAAAAAAAAAUUCAAUAAUAAAAAUUAACUUGAAAUAUAUGAUUUAAAAUGAA
RNAcentral lists this long non-coding RNA (974 nucleotides) under Brassica napus (rape). RNAcentral describes it as "long non-coding RNA (BNAP_LNC021288)". The record is from RNAcentral. Lineage: Eukaryota; Viridiplantae; Streptophyta; Magnoliopsida; Brassicales; Brassicaceae.